Schistosoma haematobium is the source of this 164-nucleotide non-coding RNA. NCBI's taxonomy places the organism in Eukaryota, Metazoa, Platyhelminthes, Trematoda, Strigeidida, Schistosomatidae. The record is from Rfam.
AUCAAUUCUCGACUCUUUGAGUUAGGAUCAUGUGUAGUAUAUGUUCUUUGCAAUGUAAUUUCUACAACUGUCUCUAAACUUAGACCAAGGAAAUUACCUGUCAAAACGGGCCCUCAAAUGUCCUGGUGUGGUUGAGAGUGAGGAGAGUCACCUCUCCCUCUCAA